UGGGGAAUCUUGGACAAUGGGCGCAAGCCUGAUCCAGCCAUGCCGCGUGAGCGAUGAAGGCCUUAGGGUUGUAAAGCUCUUUCACCGGUGAAGAUAAUGACGGUAGCCGGAGAAGAAGCCCCGGCUAACUUCGUGCCAGCAGCCGCGGUAAUACGAAGGGGGCAAGCGUUGUUCGGAAUUACUGGGCGUAAAGGGCGUGUAGGCGGUCUAAUCAGUCAGUGGUGAAAGCCCUGGGCUCAACCCAGGAAUUGCCUUUGAUACUGUUAGACUAGAGUUCGGGAGAGGAUAGUGGAAUUCCCGAGUGUAGAGGUGAAAUUCGUAGAUAUUGGGAAGAACACCAGUGGCGAAGGCGGCUAUCUGGACCGAUACUGACGCUGAGGCGCGAAAGCGUGGGGAGCAAACAGGAUUAGAUACCCUGGUAGUCCACGCCGUAAACGAUGUCUGCUAGUCGUUGGGGGGCCGUAGCCCUUCAGUGGACGCCGCUAACGCAUUAA
RNAcentral lists this ribosomal RNA (494 nucleotides) under uncultured bacterium. RNAcentral describes it as "bacterial SSU rRNA". It matches the Rfam family "Bacterial small subunit ribosomal RNA", at positions 355 to 863 of the family's 1533-position model. The record is from RNAcentral.